This 339-nucleotide ribosomal RNA is filed under the name Triticum aestivum (bread wheat). RNAcentral's name for it is "partial small subunit ribosomal RNA". Lineage: Eukaryota; Viridiplantae; Streptophyta; Magnoliopsida; Poales; Poaceae. The record is from RNAcentral.
AUGAUUUUGGGUUGUGAAAAAACAGAGUAUCCGCAUUUCGUUAAAAUAAAAUUGGUUUUCAACCGUAAGGAAUCAGAGAGAGUGUUCUACAUGAAAAAGUUGCGCUUCAUCGGUAUCUUUCUAAUGGCAUAUAAUUCAGAUCAUUUCGACCAGCGGUUUGCAAAAAUCACGAAAAACGUUCGCUACCUCCCGUCGUCAGCCGCACGAUUUUCAAAAUUAACUAAAAACCGUAAGGAAUCUCAAAAAUACUCCAAUAUACGAAAGGUGAGCCUUGUCCGUAGCUUUCCAACAAUGUAUCAUACUCCUCAUUCCGGCAAAUGGUGCAAAAAAUGGAGCUAA